Molecule: non-coding RNA, 75 nt
Organism: Haemonchus placei
Lineage: Eukaryota; Metazoa; Nematoda; Chromadorea; Rhabditida; Trichostrongylidae
Source: Rfam
GGCACAAAUUUAAAGUAAAGUAGAUUAGUAUGGUCAGCUGAUACUACUGAUCUACUUUACCUGAAAUUCAGGCCC